This 62-nucleotide non-coding RNA is filed under the name Hyphomicrobiales bacterium. Its description in RNAcentral is "Rhizobiales bacterium Fluoride sequence". It matches the Rfam family "Fluoride riboswitch aptamer (crcB RNA motif)". Lineage: Bacteria; Pseudomonadati; Pseudomonadota; Alphaproteobacteria; Hyphomicrobiales. The record is from RNAcentral.
UUGUCGCAAGGUGAUGGAGUUCACCUUUAACUGCCUUCGAGGCUGAUGACUCCUGUUUCGCC